RNAcentral lists this ribosomal RNA (355 nucleotides) under Fidelibacterota bacterium. RNAcentral describes it as "bacterial SSU rRNA". It matches the Rfam family "Bacterial small subunit ribosomal RNA", at positions 1 to 347 of the family's 1533-position model. Lineage: Bacteria; Pseudomonadati; Fidelibacterota. The record is from RNAcentral.
ACAAUGGAGAGUUUGAUCCUGGCUCAGGACGAACGCUGGCGGCGUGCUUGAUACAUGCAAGUCAAGGAGAAAAUUUCCUUCGGGAAAUAAGUAAACUGGCGAACGGGUGAGUAACACGUAGGUAACCUGCCUUAGAGAUUGGGAUAACCCCGGGAAACCGGAGCUAAUACCGAAUAAUGCAACGAAUCCUUCGGGGUAUGUUGUUAAAGCGGGCUUCGGCUCGCACUUUAAGAUGGGCCUGCGUCCGAUUAGCUUGUUGGUGGGGUAAUGGCCUACCAAGGCGACAAUCGGUAGCUGGUCUGAGAGGAUGAUCAGCCACACUGGGAUUGAGAUACGGCCCAGACUCCUACGGGAG